UACGGGGGGGGCAAGCGUUGUUCGGAAUUACUGGGCGUAAAGGGCUCGUAGGCGGCCAACUAAGUCAGACGUGAAAUCCCUCGGCUUAACCGGGGAACUGCGUCUGAUACUGGAUGGCUUGAGUUUGGGAGAGGGAUGCGGAAUUCCAGGUGUAGCGGUGAAAUGCGUAGAUAUCUGGAGGAACACCGGUGGCGAAGGCGGCAUCCUGGACCAACACUGACGCUGAGUGAGCGAAGGCCGGGGAGCAAACGGG
RNAcentral lists this ribosomal RNA (253 nucleotides) under uncultured bacterium. RNAcentral describes it as "partial 16S ribosomal RNA". It matches the Rfam family "Bacterial small subunit ribosomal RNA", at positions 524 to 776 of the family's 1533-position model. The record is from RNAcentral.